GGGAUUGCCUUAGUAACGGCGAGUGAAGCGGCAAUAGCUCAAAUUUGAAAGCUGGCGUCUUCGACGUCCGCGUUGUAAUUUGUAGAGGAUGCUUCGGCGAGGACUCCUGCCUAAGUCCCCUGGAACGGGGCGUCACAGAGGGUGAGAAUCCCGUAUGUGGCGGGCGGUCCAAGCCAUGUGAAGCUCCUUCGACGAGUCGAGUUGUUUGGGAAUGCAGCUCUAAAUGGGAGGUAAAUUUCUUCUAAAGCUAAAUAUUGGCCAGAGACCGAUAGCGCACAAGUAGAGUGAUCGAAAGAUGAAAAGCACUUUGGAAAGAGAGUUAAAAAGUACGUGAAAUUGUUGAAAGGGAAGCGCUUGCAACCAGACUCGCUCGCAGUUGCUCAGCCGGCCUCUUGGCCGGUGUACUCUUCUGCGAUCGGGCCAGCAUCAGUUCGGGCGGCUGGAUAAAGGUGUCGGGAAUGUAGCACCCUUCGGGGUGUGUUAUAGCCCGGCGCGGAAUGCGGCCAGCCUGGACUGAGGAUCUCGCUUCGGCAAGGAUGCUGGCGUAAUGGUUGUAAGCGGCCCGUCUUGAAACACGGACCAAGGAGUCUAACAUCUAUGCGAGUGUUUGGGUGUCAAACCCAUGCGCGUAAUGAAAGUGAACGGAGGUGGGAACCCUUCACGGGGUGCACCAUCGACCGAUCCUGAUGUCUUCGGAUGGAUUUGAGUAAGAGCAUAGCUGUUGGGACCCGAAAGAUGGUGAACUAUGCCUGAAUAGGGUGAAGCCAGAGGAAACUCUGGUGGAGGCUCGCA
This 792-nucleotide ribosomal RNA is filed under the name Guignardia gaultheriae. RNAcentral's name for it is "LSU rRNA". It matches the Rfam family "Eukaryotic large subunit ribosomal RNA", at positions 71 to 879 of the family's 3401-position model. Lineage: Eukaryota; Fungi; Ascomycota; Dothideomycetes; Botryosphaeriales; Phyllostictaceae. The record is from RNAcentral.